AUUAAGGUGGCAGAUAAGUGCAUUAGAUUUAAGCUCUAAAUAUGAAGAUUAUUCUUUUCUUAAUA
This 65-nucleotide transfer RNA is filed under the name Cephalothrix simula. RNAcentral's name for it is "tRNA-Leu". It matches the Rfam family "tRNA". From Rfam's summary of the family: Transfer RNA (tRNA) molecules are approximately 80 nucleotides in length. Their secondary structure includes four short double-helical elements and three loops (D, anti-codon, and T loops). The record is from RNAcentral. RNAcentral also lists the same sequence under 2 other names. Lineage: Eukaryota; Metazoa; Nemertea; Palaeonemertea; Archinemertea; Cephalotrichidae.